GACGAACGCUGGCGGCGUGCCUAAUACAUGCAAGUCGAACGGAGUGGCGCACGGGUGAGUAAUGUAUAGCUAAUCUGCCCUACACUAGAGGACAACAGUUGGAAACGACUGCUAAUACUCUAUAGUGUAGGAUGAGGCUAUAUUGUAUCAGCUAGUUGGUGAGGUAAUGGCGCACCAAGGCUAUGACGCAUAACUGGUCUGAGAGGAUGAUCUGUCUCGCUGGAACUGAGGCACUGUCCAGACUCCUACGGGAGGCAGCAGUAGGGAAUAUUGCUCAAGGGGGGAGACCCUGAAGCAGCAACGCCGCGUGGAGGAUGGCACUUUUCGGAGCGUAAAGUCCUUUUGUUAGGGAAGCGGUACCUAACGAAUAAGCACCGGCUAACUCCGUGCCAGCAGCCGCGGUAAUUC
Molecule: ribosomal RNA, 408 nt
Filed under: uncultured bacterium
Lineage: Bacteria
Description: partial 16S ribosomal RNA
Rfam family: Bacterial small subunit ribosomal RNA
Source: RNAcentral